CUCCUACGGGAGGCAGCAGUGGGGAAUUUUGGACAAUGGGGGCAACCCUGAUCCAGCCAUUCCGCGUGAGUGAAGAAGGCCUUCGGGUUGUAAAGCUCUUUCAGCAGGAACGAAACGGUGGCUAUUAAUACUAGUUACUAAUGACGGUACCUGAAGAAGAAGCACCGGCUAACUACGUGCCAGCAGCCGCGGUAAUACGUAGGGUGCGAGCGUUAAUCGGAAUUACUGGGCGUAAAGCGUGCGCAGGCGGUUCUAUAAGUCAGAUGUGAAAUCCCUGGGCUCAACCUAGGAACUGCAUUUGAGACUGUAUGGCUAGAGUGUGUCAGAGGGGGGUAGAAUUCCACGUGUAGCAGUGAAAUGCGUAGAUAUGUGGAGGAAUACCGAUGGCGAAGGCAGCCCCCUGGGAUAACACUGACGCUCAUGCACGAAAGCGUGGGGAGCAAACAGGAUUAGAUACCCUGGUAGUCCACGCCCUAAACGAUGUCUACUAGUUGUUGGGUCUUAAUUGACUUAGUAACGCAGCUAACGCGUGAAGUAGACCGCCUGGGGAGUACGGUCGCAAGAUUAAAACUCAAAGGAAUUGACGG
This 587-nucleotide ribosomal RNA is filed under the name uncultured bacterium. Its description in RNAcentral is "bacterial SSU rRNA". It matches the Rfam family "Bacterial small subunit ribosomal RNA", at positions 336 to 916 of the family's 1533-position model. The record is from RNAcentral.